GCUUACACAUGCAAGUCGAACGAUGAAGGGGAGCUUGCUCCCUGGAUUAGUGGCGAACGGGUGAGUAACACGUGAGUAACCUGCCCUUGACUCUGGGAUAAGCACUGGAAACGGUGUCUAAUACCGGAUACGAACUUCAGCCGCAUGGCUAGGAGUUGGAAAGAAUUUCGGUCAAGGAUGGACUCGCGGCCUAUCAGCUAGUUGGUGAGGUAAUGGCCCACCAAGGCGACGACGGGUAGCCGGCCUGAGAGGGUGACCGGCCACACUGGGACUGAGACACGGCCCAGACUCCUACGGGAGGCAGCAGUGGGGAAUAUUGCACAAUGGGCGCAAGCCUGAUGCAGCAACGCCGCGUGAGGGACGACGGCCUUCGGGUUGUAAACCUCUUUUAGUAGGGAAGAAGCGAAGUGUUUUACAUGGAGUGACGGUACCUGCAGAAAAAGCACCGGCUAACUACGUGCCAGCAGCCGCGGUAAUACGUAGGGUGCAAGCGUUAUCCGGAAUUAUUGGGCGUAAAGAGCUCGUAGGCGGUUUGUCGCGUCUGCUGUGAAAACUGGGGGCUCAACCCCCAGCCUGCAGUGGGUACGGGCAGACUAGAGUGCGGUAGGGGAGAUUGGAAUUCCUGGUGUAGCGGUGGAAGGCGUAGAUAUCAGGAGGAACACCAAUGGCGAAGGCAGAUCUCUGGGCCGUAACUGACGCUGAGGAGCGAAAGCAUGGGGAGCGAACAGGAUUAGAUACCCUGGUAGUCCAUGCCGUAAACGUUGGGAACUAGAUGUAGGGUCCAUUCCACGGAUUCUGUGUCGCAGCUAACGCAUUAAGUUCCCCGCCUGGGGAGUACGG
Molecule: ribosomal RNA, 840 nt
Filed under: uncultured bacterium
Lineage: Bacteria
Description: bacterial SSU rRNA
Rfam family: Bacterial small subunit ribosomal RNA
Source: RNAcentral